RNAcentral lists this transfer RNA (71 nucleotides) under Ctenogobius saepepallens (dash goby). RNAcentral describes it as "tRNA-Gly". It matches the Rfam family "tRNA". Rfam says of the family: Transfer RNA (tRNA) molecules are approximately 80 nucleotides in length. Their secondary structure includes four short double-helical elements and three loops (D, anti-codon, and T loops). The record is from RNAcentral. Lineage: Eukaryota; Metazoa; Chordata; Actinopteri; Gobiiformes; Gobiidae.
AUCUUUCUAGUACAAAGACAGUAUAAGUGACUUCCAAUCACACGAUCUUGGUUAAAAUCCAAGGAGAGAUA